CAUGACCAUGAUAAGAUCAACAUUAUGCAGGAAGUCAACUUGAUGUGUUACAAGUAAAAUAGUCUUGCCCUUCAGUGCCCCUCGCACGCAUUCCUUGAAUAUAUCAGAUCCAGUAUGUGCAUCAACAGCGCUAAAAACAUCAUCAAGAAGGUAGAUAUCACAAUCCUGAUAAACGGCCCUGGCAAGUUGUAUCCGCUGCUUCUGUCCACCACUGAGGUUAAUGCCACGCUCUCCAAUCUCAGUUUGAUCUCCGUAAUCCAUCAUUUCCAAGUCUUUCUCCAA
This 282-nucleotide unclassified non-coding RNA is filed under the name Hevea brasiliensis (rubber tree). Lineage: Eukaryota; Viridiplantae; Streptophyta; Magnoliopsida; Malpighiales; Euphorbiaceae. The record is from RNAcentral.